ACGGCGAGUGAAGCGGCAACAGCUCAAAUUUGAAAUCUGGCUCCUUUGGGGUCCGAGUUGUAAUUUGCAGAGGGAGCUUUUGGCGUCGGUCGUGGUCUAAGUUCCUUGGAACAGGACGUCACAGAGGGUGAGAAUCCCGUACGUGGCCGCCGGCCUUCGCCUUGUAAAGCCCCUUCGACGAGUCGAGUUGUUUGGGAAUGCAGCUCUAAAUGGGAGGUAAAUUUCUUCUAAAGCUAAAUACCCGCCAGAGACCGAUAGCGCACAAGUAGAGUGAUCGAAAGAUGAAAAGCACUUUGGAAAGAGAGUGAAAAAGCACGUGAAAUUGUUGAAAGGGAAGCGCUUGCGGCCAGACGUGCCCGCGGUUGAUCAUCCAGGCUCCAGCCUGGUGCACUCCUCCGCGGGCAGGCCAGCAUCAGUUCGGGCGGUCGGAUAAAGGCCUCUAUCACGUACCACCCCUCGGGGUGGCCUUAUAGGGGAGGCGCAACACGGCCAGCCCGGACUGAGGUUCCGCGCAUCUGCUAGGAUGCUGGCGUAAUGGCAGCAAGCGGCCCGUCUUGAAACACGGACCAAGGAGUCUAACAUCUAUGCGAGUGUUUGGGUGUCAAGCCCGAGCGCGCAAUGAAAGUGAACGGAGGUGGGAACCCUUACCGGUGCACCAUCGACCGAUCCUGAUGUCUUCGGAUGGAUUUGAGUAAGAGCAUAGCUGUUGGGACCCGAAAGAUGGUGAACUAUGCCUGAAUAGGGUGAAGCCAGAGGAAACUCUGGUGGAGGCUCGCAGCGGUUCUGACGUGCAAAUCGAUCGUCAAAUUUGGGCAUAGGGGCGAAAGACUAAUCG
RNAcentral lists this ribosomal RNA (835 nucleotides) under Torula fici. RNAcentral describes it as "Torula ficus partial 28S large subunit ribosomal RNA". It matches the Rfam family "Eukaryotic large subunit ribosomal RNA", at positions 86 to 937 of the family's 3401-position model. Lineage: Eukaryota; Fungi; Ascomycota; Dothideomycetes; Pleosporales; Torulaceae. The record is from RNAcentral.